Molecule: ribosomal RNA, 274 nt
Filed under: uncultured bacterium
Lineage: Bacteria
Description: partial 16S ribosomal RNA
Rfam family: Bacterial small subunit ribosomal RNA
Source: RNAcentral
AUACUGAGGGUGCAAGCGUUAAUCGGAAUUACUGGGCGUAAAGCGCACGUAGGCGGUUUAUUAAGUCAGAUGUGAAAGCCCUGGGCUUAACCUGGGAACUGCAUUUGAGACUGGUAGGCUAGAGUAUGGUAGAGGAUAGUGGAAUUCCGGGUGUAGCGGUGAAAUGCGUAGAUAUCCGGAGGAACAUCAGUGGCGAAGGCGGCUAUCUGGACCAAUACUGACGCUGAGGUGCGAAAGCGUGGGGAGCAAACAGGAGUAGAAACCCCAGUAGUCC